UAUUCUGUAACAUAAUAGGAAAAACUUCAAAAACCCUCCCUAUAGUUUUGUAGUUUUUUAUUUUGCCUCCAUGUGAUUUAAAGUGUAUCAAUUUGUCCUCCUGUGGUUUCGUUUUUAUUUUUUCAGUAGCUUUUUCGUUAAUAUUUUAUUAAUUAUAUACAAAAAACUUCAGAUACCUAUCUAGAUUUAUCAAAUAUUCACUUUAGUACCCUUUAAUUUUAACUUUAUCACUGAUUUAAGAAAAAAAUAAUAAUAAAAUUGAUACGAAAAAGAGAAAAAAGAAAUCACAUGGGAGCAAAUUGAUACAUUUUAAACCACAGGGGGACAAAUUGAUACAUUUUAAACCACAUAGGGGCAAAGUGAGAAUCUAUGAAACCACAGGGGGUU
This 387-nucleotide long non-coding RNA is filed under the name Ananas comosus (pineapple). RNAcentral describes it as "long non-coding RNA (ACOM_LNC023965)". The record is from RNAcentral. Lineage: Eukaryota; Viridiplantae; Streptophyta; Magnoliopsida; Poales; Bromeliaceae.